GAACGCUGGCGGCAUGUCUUUACACAUGCAAGUCGAACGGUAACGAGGCCGUUCGGGUGCUGACGAGUGGCGGAACGGUGAGUAAUGCAUCGGAACGUCGCCCAAUCGGUGGGGAUAACGUAGCGAAAGUUACGCUAAUACCGCAUAAGCCCUGAGGGGGAAAGCAGGGGGAUCGCAAGACCUUGCGCUGAUUGAGCGGCCGAUAUCAGAUUAGCUAGUUGGUGAGGUAAAGGCUCACCAAGGCGACGAUCUGUAGCGGGUCUGAGAGGAUGAUCCGCCACACUGGAACUGAGACACGGUCCAGACUCCUACGGGAGGCAGCAGUGGGGAAUAUUGGACAAUGGGCGCAAGCCUGAUCCAGCAAUGCCGCGUGUGUGAAGAAGGCCUGCGGGUUGUAAAGCACUUUCAGUGGGGAAGAACAGAUUCGGGUCAAUACCCCGGAGCCCUGACGUUACCCACAGAAGAAGCACCGGCUAACUCCGUG
This 484-nucleotide ribosomal RNA is filed under the name uncultured bacterium. RNAcentral describes it as "bacterial SSU rRNA". It matches the Rfam family "Bacterial small subunit ribosomal RNA", at positions 31 to 507 of the family's 1533-position model. The record is from RNAcentral.